UAUAUCAUCUGAUUAUCGUCUGCUGUUGACUGUUUAUUUAUGGUUUUGUUUCAAUUUAUUAAUUUCGUGUUAAUUAUAAUUUUAAUUAAUUCACCUUCAAGUCUAUAUUUAGUUGAGACUUUCUCGAUGUCUAUUUGAUAAUUGGUCUUGUUAACUUUAAUUCAAAUGUUGUGUUUACGUAUCAAGUUCCGAGUAAAAGUUUAAUCUCCUCAUCAUGGGAAUAAAGGGAAGAAUUGGAACAUUUUUAAGAGUAAAUGAAGAUGAACCAGGAAAGCAAAAGGUUCUUCUUCUUUUUUCUGGUUGAAAAGGAAUCAUUUUUCUCAUCAGAAAAGUGGAAGAAAAGCAACAGGAUAGAGGAUGAUAAAGAGGAGGAGGAGGAGGAGAAGGAGGAUAAAGAUUGAAUCAAGAAAAUGGGUGAGUAUGAGUGUGUUUUUUUUGAGGUAUAGGAUCAAUGACAGGAAAAAAGAAAAGGAUACAGAUGAAGAGAAAGGAGAGACUCUAAGAUGGAGAUAAUAUUAUACAAGAAAAGAUGGAGGAGACACGUAAAGAGAUGAAAACCACAUUGAAGAUGAUGACAGUUAAAUCGGUUUAAGAAAAAUAUUUAUCUCUUAAUUCUCAGCGUUACUUAAGGACACAACCAUAAUCACAAUUAACAUUAUAUUGUCUUUUAAAUGGUCAACUAGCAUAUUCCUUUUGGUUGCUGUUCAUGAUUUUCAUUUCAUCUUUAAUUUCUCAUUCUCAUCUUAAAGUGAUUCCAAUUCAUUCCAAAUUUUCAGUCCAUUAGCCAGUUUCGUGGUGGAUCAAUUUUUCAAGAUUAGCUUUCCCUCAGGCUGAUGGUUAAUUCAAUUCCUGGGAUAAACAAAAAGUUUAAGAGUCGAUUUUCUUUGAGAAAAGAGUUAAUUAUUGUUUCUCCCUUUCACAACAAUUUGUUGGCUUUUUUACGUUUUUGUCUUCUCAACCUUUAAGCCAGAUUAAGAUAAUCCAGUCUUUGGAAUGGAAAAUUUUUUUGAAUCCAUCAACGAUAGUGAAUUCACAUGCUAACCAUCCAUUCAAAUAUAUUGAAAGGUUCUUGGAAAAACUCCUGACAGUCACAAGAAUUUACUCUCACCGAAAACGAAUCCUGGUUCCUUCCGUUGAGCUUGAUUUUCAAAAAUUGGUUUCCCUGACAGUUAGUUUGAAUUUAAAAUUCAACUGUGUAUCGUUAUUUGUUUUCACUUUUCAGGAUCAUUGUUAAAUCGAAGUUUAUUUUAGAUUAGACAAUUAAGUAGCUGUUAAUCAGUGGUUUUCAAUGUUACUUUAAACCUGCUUAUGAUUGUGUUAAUAUGUAUUUAAUCACUUUAAUAUUACAUUGUGGGUUUUAACUUCUUUUAA
This is a non-coding RNA of Tetranychus urticae (two-spotted spider mite), 1371 nucleotides long. The record is from RefSeq and is a predicted model, not a curated record. NCBI's taxonomy places the organism in Eukaryota, Metazoa, Arthropoda, Arachnida, Trombidiformes, Tetranychidae.